CUGACGGCCAGUCACCAGCAACUCAGGGUCCAACACUGAGGGCAACACCACGGUCUGCUGUAAUAAUCUGGAUAAUGGGACAGAAUGCACUCACAGUAAAUUUGUAGGUUAUGCCAAAUUGGUCAGGGAGAGCAGUCAAUCAACUGGAGUUAGAGCAGUGGUGUUUCUGGGAGGGUGAAGGUGCUCUCCAUUUGACUCUUCUGAAAGGGUACCUGAAUAUCAGGUUCAGUUGAAGACUUCUCAGUAUACGGAAGGUAUUAAUACACUGGAGCAAGUCCAGCUGAGGACUACCAAAGCCAAUGGGAAUUGGAGCACAGUGGGGAGAGGUUAAGGGAACUGGAUUUGUUCAGCCUGGGGAAGACAGGACUGUCAUUUCUAUCUGAAAAUACCAACUGGCCUGAUGGGGAGAAGACAGAGCCAGGCUCUGCUCAGCCAGCAGUAGGUGAAGAGGCAAUAGGCACAAACUGGAAGAUCGAAAUUUCAACUCAAUUAAAGGAACAUGCUUUUUGCCAUGAAAAUAGUCAAAUACUGGAACAAGGACCCAAAACGAUUUCCACCCUUGGAGGUAAUCAAUACUCAACUAGUGAAGGUCUGGACCUGCUUUGGCCAGGAGAUUGGAGUAGACAAGGGAUUGUUUGUGGUCUUCUGUAGCCUACACAAUUUUGUGGUUCUAUGAUUUCACGUAGCAGUGUCUGUGGAGUUACUGCAGUAGUGGAGAAGUGCAUGUGGACAACAAGGACCAACGUGUUCAACUGGGACGCCAGAUGGACGUGAGUCAAAAAGGUCACCGCGUGGUACAAAUGGCAGUCACAGCUGGGGAUAUGAAGAAUAAUGGCCUGCAGAGCACAUGGAUUAACCUUUACAUUUAUUAGGAGAUGUGAUCCAGCAAGAAUGACUCCAGCAAGAAUCACGUGUCCUUGGAGAAAUGCAGACACAAUGAGGGUGAGGAUGAAAGCAGCCCUUGCAUUUGUAGGAUGCUAAUAAAAAGAAUCCGGCCUGAUCUCUAUUUCUGUGCUGAACAGAACUGGAAAUAGUGGGUGUGAACUGCAGCAAAGGGAUAAAAUCAUAGAAUCAUUAAGGCUGGAAAAGACCUCUAUGAUCAUCAAGUCCAACAGUCAGCCCACCCAAACCAUACCCACUCAUGGAAUCAUUAAGAUUGAAAAGAUCUCCAAGAUCAUCCAGUCCAGCCAUCAACCCAUCAUCUCCAUUAAUGAUGAAUCAAUGAGAAAAGCUUUUAAAUAGCAGACAUGGUGAAACUUUGGGAUUUCUGAGAAAGUUGUGGAGUUCCCUUUCUUGUAGGGAUUUAAGAACAAGUUAGACAUGCACUUGUCAUGAAUGAUUCAGAAAGAGUUGCUUCUGCUUUGGAAGACAAAUGUAGAUACGUUGUCCACUGUAAAUCUCUGCGGAUCAAUAGUUGGGUGAACUAUUCUGGUUUCAUAUGGGCAUAUCCUUCUUGGAGACAGCAUGUAUUCUGGUAACCCUUGCAUUUCUUUAUUUCUCCCCUUUCAUUCCUAAUGCAAUAGAUCAAGUAAUAAGAUAUAGUGAUAGAACUGAACAUUUCUAAAGAGAUCUCUAAAGUUAUACCAAUGGAUCUAUGUGUCUGGUUACCUGGUUCCAUGCUGAUGUUUAACCUCCCAGUAAAAAUCCCUUCCUUAAGCUUUAGGAAGCUUUAGAUGGCCUUUAAAGGUCUCUUCCAACUCCAACCAUUCUAUGAUCCUGUGAUAUUGCCUGACUGGGUGCAGCAAGCAGCCUUUGCCCACAUCACCCCAUAAAGCUUCACAGUAAAUGAGAAUGUGUUGCUAUGCGGCUCUAUGUGGCUGCUUGCCAGUUUUGAUCUUCGAGUGAUCAGCCAGCCUCAGGAAACAGGAUCUGUAAUUACGUCUACUUUACACUGAGAAAACAUUAUUCGUGCCAUAAAUUCUUUGAGGUAGGGCUUGUAUCUCUUGGAUUUUAUUUAAUCCCAAGAAUGCUGAUGCUUGACAAACAGAGACUGGCUUCACUCUGUUUAAGCAUUAAUCUGCCCAGUUUCUCUUCAAAUCCAGCUAUCUUCUGACAUCCUGUACUCACAAAUAUCACAUGCCAGAUGCUUCCUUAAUGACACUCUGGUCCCUAACUGAUUUAACUGCUAUUUAUGUAAGAUCAUCCCCUCUUAUCCUCUUAUCUAUCUUUUUUUCCCCAUGUUUAUUCCUCUCCAAACCACCAAACAUCAUACAGUAAGUUUAAUGAGACCCUGAUAUUCUCUUCCUUUGCAGCACACAACAGAAUGGGAAAUUGGUACCCAGUAGUUACUUUCUCUCUCUCAAGGCAGUCAUUAGCUCAUUCUCUUUACCAAGUCACCAAUUGUGGAGGGGAUGCAUACAAUGAAGCAUCAUCUGUUAAAGUCAUAAUGUGUUCAUCUUACAUUUUUGUAAAACCAACUUUCUUCCAUUGUUGUUCCAUUUUCCCUGUUUGCUGCAAAAUGCUACCAUGUUGAGUCAAAUGUGUGAAAAAAUAAAUGAAUGGCUUUCUGCAGAGUUUGGGUUGGUCUGCCAAUCAUUGCACCUUUACAGUGACUUGGGGGUAUGUUAGCACUCUUCCAAACAAGCAUUCUUGGACGAAGUAAAACCAACAUGCUGCCAUAGGCAUAGACUCUGAAAAAAGCAAGGAAUGCAGCCUGGAAGGUGUGGCAGACACAGAGUUUCAACAAAAUGUUAUUUGAAAUUCAAGGUCAUAAUUAUAAACUUCUAUUUGAAAAGUCACAUUCAGUAUUCUCACUCAGUUUUUGCAGUUACAGACAGACUGACAGACAAGUCCACGAAGUCCAACUCAAAGCUGAAUCCUUGACAAGGCAAGACAAUACAUUAAUUGUUUCUUGAGCAAAACCAGCUCUAUCGUGACUAAACAACAGAAAAAGACAUGGGAUGGACGCUGUUCAGGGCUGGAGGGCUAAUUAAAACUAGAGGAAACUGGGUGUGCAGCUACCUGAGUGAAUAAAUCAGCCAUGUAUUCUGCUGGAGAUAAUCAUUUACAGGACUUGUUUGGAUCUGCAUACCAACUUUCAUGCAGGUGCAAUGAAUGAGGAAAUCAAUUAUCUGUCAUUGUUUAACACUGACAUCACCUCCUCUACAAAGCUCCUUGUCUAUCUAAAUGUGCAGAAAUCUCAUCCCUCUAGAUCUUCAGUUGGGUCAGCUUUUUCUGGAAUUACAAAUGGGACCCCAAGUUGAUUGUUGUGUAUAAAUGGACAAUGAGAGACAGUAAGAACGUGGAAUACACACCAAAAAGAUGCCAUUUCAUUAAAACUACCAAGCUCCACUGAGUCUCUUUCCUUGAUAUUUAUGCCCUUCUUCUGCAGUGUUGAAUGCUCUACUUAAUCUGAAGGUACGUGCCUGAAUACUUCUGUUUGUUAAGGGAGAGGUAGCACUGAUGUACAUGGUUGACCAAAGUGUCAGCGUGCAGCACUCCAUUGGCUCCUUCCAAACUUCCCCAGGUGGUAAGCACUCCCUACGUAAAUCCCCUCAGAACUAAAUGAAAAAGCAUGGUCCCUUUUCCAGGCACAGGAAGGACAAGAAAAUCAUCAUGGAUUAACCAAAAGGAGGACACGUUUGACCAACUUGAUGAGCUUCUGUAAUGAAACGUCCAGCUUGUUGGAUGAAGAGGAAGCAGUGCUCAUUGUCUUCCUGGAUGUUGAUAAGGUGUAUUCUGUUCUCCAGAAGAUCCUCCUAUAGAAACUGUUGGUGUAUGGACUGGAAGAGGAUGAAAACUGCUUGAACGGCCUGGCUCAGAUGUCAGUGGAUAAGUCUAGAUGGAGUACGAAUGAGCUGACCUUGAGAUCAACCCAUGCAUUAUUACCUGGGUUGGGGUUGGACAUCCAUCACUAGACACCUACAGAAAUCAGUUGCCUGGGCUAAAGGAACUGAAUCACAGUCAAACAUGGGUGCCUACACACUAAGAGACACCAAGCUGCAGCCUGGACAUUAUUUAAAGCAGAUGAAUACCAAAAGGAGUGCCAGGAAUCAGUCCAUCUCCUCAUCCACAGGACCAGGGAAGAUGAAAAGAUGCUGAGCUGAUCAAAUUAUAUCUCAGUAUAGAUGGAUCUAUCUCCAUAAAUAUAGAAAACAAGUGAUCAAACAAAAAAAUUGUUUUGAUCAUCAAAUCUGAUUCCAGUGUCUGGAAAUAAAAUAUCCCAGCAAGAAGACAAGCGUGCUGAAUGUGUUUCUCAGAUUUUUGAAGAAAAAAAUCACAUAC
This is a long non-coding RNA of Gallus gallus (chicken), 4224 nucleotides long. The record is from Ensembl. NCBI's taxonomy places the organism in Eukaryota, Metazoa, Chordata, Aves, Galliformes, Phasianidae.